This 367-nucleotide ribosomal RNA is filed under the name Cheironitis pamphilus. RNAcentral's name for it is "partial 16S ribosomal RNA". Lineage: Eukaryota; Metazoa; Arthropoda; Insecta; Coleoptera; Scarabaeidae. The record is from RNAcentral.
AUCGUGCAAAGGUAGCAUAAUAAUUAGUUUUUUAAUUAAGAACUGGUAUGAACGGUUGGACGAGAGAAAAACUGUCUCAAUUUAAUUUAAAUUAGAAUUUUAUAUUUAAGUAAAAAAGCUUAAAUUUUUUUAAAAGACGAGAAGACCCUAUAGAGUUUUAUAUAAAAUAUAUUUUUAAAAUUAAAGUAUUAAAGUUUUUAGAGUUAAUUUUAUAUUUGGUUGGGGUGACUAAAAAAUUAAAAUAACUUUUUUUAUUGUAUUACAUUGAUUUAUGAGUAAGUGAUCCAUAUUUUAUGAUUAAAAGAUUAAAUUACCUUAGGGAUAACAGCGUAAUUUUUUUUGAGAGUUCUUAUCGAAAAAAAAGUUU